AUAAAGUCCGCAUGUUUAUAUCUCCUCCUCCCUAAAUUUCCACAGAAACAAAAGAGACAAGAACAAUCUACAGGUCAUUAGAAAACAAAAAGAGUGCAAACAGGAAAAAUAAUAUUUGGGGAACUUCCACAUAGUAGAAAGACGAUGGAUGUGGACAACUGGGUGUGAAUAGGCAACGGACUCCCACAAUGAGAAUGCAGACAAACCAGCCCCAGCACAAUAGCAGCUACGAGGAUGUAGACAAAGCGGCCAGGACAACAGCGGCAGAAGGGGAUUGCCCUUUCUAACCCAAUCAAGGGAAGAUGCUGAGUCAUGGCAGAACCUGAAUCGCAGCAUUUGCAGAGAGGAGCACAGAGCAGUGGACCUGGACCAUACACGAAGUGGACGCCAAGCCUAAUCAGAAAGAGUUUGCUCUACUUUCACGACCUUGGGUCUUCAAGAAGUACAUCUCCCUGUGUGAAGAGGGCUUUCAAUCCCUUGUCAUCACCAGAGUUUGGAACCAGUUAUAUUUCACCUGGCCCCAGAGGUACCUAUGUUAAUUAAGACAACAGCAGCUGCUAAGCAGCUCACCCAUGAAACUUCAGUGGUCUAACUCAUUAAAAGUUUCUCACCCAGGUAAAGUCCAAAAGGAAUGUUGCCGGUCAUUGAGUGACGUUGCUUGAAGUGAUACUUUAUAAAUCAAGAUUCCUUCCAUUCUAUGUCACUUUCAGUUACCACCCACAGUUUCAGAAUUCACCUGGGAAGGUAAAAGAACACGAAUAAUUGCCCAGGGGAUGCUUGGAUGGGCCAGGCCCAGAAGUGGCGCAUGGUAAUUUCACUUGCAUUCUAUUGGCUAGAGAGCAGUCAUAAUGACCAGACCCAACUGCAAGGGAUUCUGGGAGAUGUAGUCCGACUGCCCAGGAAGAGGGAGCCAACACAAGGCAGUCUCAGAAGAAGUCACAGGGUCACUUUGGUAUAAUUUUCCCUAGUAAAUUUUUCUGAGGCCACUAUGGAUAUCCUGGACUUCUGUGCAGAAAAAAUGUGUAAAAGUACUUCCAUAAUGCCUUUCCAGAACCUGCCAGUGAUGUUAUUUAAAAUUAAUUUGAGAGACCAGGGGAAUAUAUCAGUAAACCAUUUUAAUUGUGUAGUACUUCAGAACUUUCAAAAUGAUUUCUCAUUCUUUCAUUUGAUUUUCUUAGUGCUCUUCUCUCAGUGUCUAUAAGCUUCAGUCGGGAAAUAUUAGCUGAUUUCCCAUUUUGCCAGGCUCUGGUCUGAGCGCUAGGGCUGUAGUGGUGAACAGAAAAAAGACCCCUGCACUCAUUUUUCCUGUAUCCAAGGAAAAGCAGCUUAUAUUUGCAAGUUUCAGGGGCUAAGAGUCCCGAAAAACAAAACUAGGAUGAAAUGACGGAGGAUAAGGCCACAUGGGGUAAAGUAUGUGUUUAAAUGUUCUUGGGAUUUUGUUUUAAUCAGUGUGGCAAGAUGACAGACAUGGAGACAACUGCCUUGAAAAAAGAGUUUAUACUCACAGUUCCCUACAGGAGGGGGAUACCAUGCCCUGCAGUGCCACAUGGGGAAGCACCAGGGUUGGCCAGGAGGCAGUGCAAGCAAGGAGAAAGCAUGGGCAAGAGCCAUUAUUUUAGAUUUCACAGGAAAGAAUGAGGGGGGCAGACCGGGCAGGCAGUGCAAGUUUAGGAUUGGAUACUUUGGCUAAUUUCAGUGGGCUUUUGACUAUAGCAACAGUCCUGAGUUGUCUGGUACCUGGCCCUGGGAUGAUUUAGGGCAGGAGGAAUAUUGGCUUGGUGUGUGAGUGAGAUAAAGGAAGGUGUUGAGGCGUGGGCUUUGGAUUGGUUGGUUUGCAUGUGAAAGGCAUGCUUAACAUGGUGAAACCCCAUCACUACUAAAAACACAAAAAUUAGCCAGGCAUGGUGGCACAUGCCUGUAAUUCCAGCUACUUGGGAGUCUGAGGCGCGAGACUCACUUGAAUCCAGGAGGUGGAGGUUGCAGUGAGCCGAGAUCAAGAUUGUGCCACUUGCAAUCCAGCGUGGGCAACAGAGCAAGACUCCAUCUGAAAGAAAGGAAAAGAAAAGAGAAAAGAGGAAAGGAAAGGAAUGGAAUGGAAUGAAAAGGAAAGGAAAAGAAAAGAAAAAAAAAGAAAAGAAAAGAAAAGAAAAGAAAAGAAAAGAAAAGAAAAGAAAAGGAAAGGAAAGGAAAGACAAGAAAAGGGCAUUCUUGCAGGCAAGUUGUUUCCUAUCCCUAGGAGCCAGCCCUGGAGGGGCAGUUUCUCCAGGAUGAGCAAAGCCCCAAGAUGUCAAAACAUCAUAAAGCACAGAAAAUAAAAACAUGAUUAAUACAAUGCAGCAGUGGGCACAUAAAUUUAGAAUGGAGGGUCAGCAAAGGCUUUCCUGAAGAGUUGAUAUUGGAGAUGAGAUCAGAAUUACAUGAAGAUGCCAGCCACACAAAGAUCCAGAGGGAGAGCACAUCAGGCAAAAGCACAAGGCAAGCACAAGCUUAGGCCAGUCCAAGAGGAUGGAAAGGGCCAGCAUGGCUGGAGUAGGGAGAUAAGGUAGUAGAAGAUGAGGCCAGAUAGGCAGGACUCUGGAGGCCAUGGCAGGACUUUGGAUUUCAUUAGGACUGCAAUAGGAAGCUAUUAAAGGGUAUUGCACAGAGCAAUGUCAUCUGAUUUGCAUUUUUAAAAAGUCACUGACUGGUGAGGAGAACAUAUUGCAUGCGGGCACCAGUGGGAAGCAGUGAGAUGAGUCAACCGGGGGGUGCACUAAAGCAUGACUUGAGAAGUAAGACAUAGCUCCUUCUCCCGCUUUGUCUGCCUAACACUGACACUCUGGCAUGCCUGUACUUUGUGUGACUUGGCUCAAAUAUGACCUUUGUUUGAAACAGAUCAUUCAUUUAUCACUUUUUUUUUCAUAAAUCUAAGUAUUCCCAUUCUCAAAGUGAUCCUCCCACACUUUUCUUACCUGUCAUGCACUAUUGAUGACAAGAAGGACCCCAGCUGAGAACUCUCUAUGGAUUGUCCAGUAUGUGCCCUCAAGUGUUUGGUAACUCUGGGAAAUAUAAAUAAAGUUUAUUGGAUAAUGGUCCUAACCUGUAAAGAACUGAAAAAUUCCACUGCAAACCCAAGAAAAUAUGCAUAACUCAAGAGGAAGACAGAUUAUCCCUAAGAUAGAGAGCUCCGUCCUAGAUGACUCAGAGCAGGAUUCACGAGGAG
RNAcentral lists this long non-coding RNA (3202 nucleotides) under Homo sapiens (human). RNAcentral's name for it is "HSALNT0131006". The record is from RNAcentral. Lineage: Eukaryota; Metazoa; Chordata; Mammalia; Primates; Hominidae.